Betta splendens (Siamese fighting fish) is the source of this 2655-nucleotide long non-coding RNA. RefSeq lists it as uncharacterized. The transcript is spliced from 2 exons. The record is from RefSeq and is a predicted model, not a curated record. NCBI's taxonomy places the organism in Eukaryota, Metazoa, Chordata, Actinopteri, Anabantiformes, Osphronemidae.
CAACUGGCUCUAAAAUCAGAGUUUGAUGCAACAUGCUGUAGCACUGCAGUGUAUCUCAGACAUCCCACCCCACCUGUGAGAUGUAACACAUCCCCCUAUAUGAGAAUAUAUGUUGCUGUAUUUAGUUUAAGGUUGUAAGGUGAUUUGGUAAGUAAAUGACUGGCUGCAGGUCUGCUACAAACAGGGGACAACAGAUGACCAGGGUUAACUUAAUUAUAUAAUACUCCACCACAAAAUAGAAUAAGUCUGUGGUAGUGGUAUUAAGGUUUCAAGGAGCACAGAAGGGUGGCGCGCAAAAUUGUUUACAUUUUAAUGAUGACUAAUACAGCAACAAAAUGCCUUAAAGGUCACUAAUCAUACAGCUUUUCACUCGAGAAUACUGGACUUCAAUGUCUCAAUAAGGUAUAAGUUUUCAUUCCGUAAAACUCUGAAGAUAGUCCACACAACCCCUGUCAAUGUGCGGUUUUCAGUCACACUCAGUGAACAAGCUGUUUUUAGGGGCGUGUUGCAAGCGGAGCUGUUGUCACACCUCUGUGCAGAAGUAAAUGCUUUUUUUUGACCCGUCACAUGGUUUAGGAUACGAUGGUGCAACAUUGAGCAUGUAAUCCACCUUAAUUCUCCAAAGAAGACGACAACUCAACACGGACCUCAAGAGAGCAAUAAUAGCUUCAGUUCUUUCGGUAGUGGAGUCCAAGCACAUUUGUUUGAUCCAGAAUCUGACCCUGAAGGAAGCUGCUGAAGUCAUUACACUUCGACUGGUGCAAAAUGUGUGUCAAUGUGCCUUCAACACCAUCCAGCCAGUGCUUCUGAAACAAAAACUGGAGGAGGCUGGUGUGGACCUCCAUCUGAUGGAGUGGAUUAUGGACUACCUCACAAACAGGCCUCAGUUUGUGAGAGCCAGGGAAUGUGUGUCUGACACUCUGUCCUGCAGUGUGGGGGGCCCCACAGGGGACUGUACUGGCCCUUUUCCUCUCAGACUUCAGACACAACACAGAUAGCUGUGUUCUUCAGAAGUUCUCUAAUGACUCUCUGAUCGUCGGACUGAUCACCGAUGAUGACAAUGCAGAGUACAGAGGACUUACUUAGAACAGGACUUUGCGGAACCACUUCUUGAUCAAUGCAGGAGAUGGUGGUGGAUUUCCGCAGACGGCUGCCUCAUCAGCCAUCCUAUAUGGUGUGGUCUGCUGGAGGAGCAGCAUCACAGUGAGGGUCAGGAAGAGACUGUGCAAUAUGUAGAUUAAUUAUGACAUUUUUGCAUACCCACUCUGACCACUGUAUUAUACUAUGCCAACUCAACCCAGUUUCACUGAUCUGUUCUGUAUUUCCUACUUGCUGCUAUAUUUUUCUUCUUCUGCAUCACUCUGAGCUGUUGUGAGACGAAAUUUCCCCAUUGUGGGACUAUUAAAGGUUUUCUUAUUCUUAUCCUUAUUCUUAUUCUUAUCUUAAGUUGUUACAGGUAUCUAGUCUACAGAGGCUAGUGAGCUGGUGCUGGGGAUUCCUGGGAUGAAGAAUCUGAGUUGUCAUCUCUUCAUGCGCGGGUUGUAGAUCAAGGCAUAUUUUUCUGAUAAAACACUCACUGUAUGUUAGAUUUAGACCACCUGUGUAAUAACUCAUUUACCAUUUAAGUAGAAAUGUGUUGUUUAUGUCUGCAAUACUUACCAUGUACCAUAUGGCGAACACAGUAAACAUUCCUUAUGUAAAAUUUUUUUACCUUUGAAAUGUUUUAGAGUUGAGACGUGUAUUUUAUUUCUCAUUUAGUUUUUACAGUGUUAAGAUGCUCAACAUUGAGGGAAUAAAUGUUGACACGACCAUCAGUAAAAAACGUGGUGUCCCUCUAUAUAGUGAAAACUACGGUAGUUACAAUACUCAUUAAGAUCAAUUGAAUUGAAUUUUUAACUUAUAUUUCCACAUGCUUUUUUUCUUACGGUUGGUUCACCUUUAUAACUUACCUUAUUAGAAAGAGAAAAAUAUGUAAUUUCAAUACUAUGAUUCCUGAAUUAAAGUGUUUUCCUCUUAUAAAAACAGAGUUCAGUGAAAUAUGUAAUAGUCAAAGCCGAUUUUAUUGUCAACCAGAAAAUGCACCAGUACUCCAAAGCUAAAAGAAACUGUUAUCUUUACACCCCAAUGUGCAAUGUAUAGGUUACUCAGUGAGUUGAGAAUUCUAGGGGUUUGAGGACAGAAGCUCUUGCAGGGCCUUGUGGUGGAAGUAGGGUAAACAGACCAUGUCCUGGGGAUCUAACAGUUUCAGCAUUAUUGUCUGGCUUCUGCCUGUCCCUUCCUGUUUAGUUCCUGGUCUGCUCUGGUUUUCUCCUGUUUUACUUUCCAGUCACAUGAUUCAUCAGCUGUAGUCAAUCGGUAAUCUAGUCAGGCAUUUAAACCUCAGUUCUCCUCACGUUCUCUGCCAGAUUGUUGACCACUUUACCGGUAUCAACUCAUUCCUGUCUCGUAAGUCCUUUGUGUACCAGUCCUGGAUUUUGUUUUUGAUCAUAUCCUGUCUGCUCCCUGUCUCUAUCGUUUUGGACUCUGCCUGAUUACUGGACCUUUGCUUGGAGAACUGAUUACCUUUUGCCUGUUCCCUGUCUGUACCUGCCUUCAUGUUUAUCCGUGUACCGACUUCUGCCUGUCUGACCAAGCAUUAAACCACCACAAAUCAUA